UGUUCAGGCAGUAGAGUGUAAAUUAAAUAUUAGAUCUAAGAGGAUUUCACAUACUUCAUAGCAUGACCUAGUUGGGAUAUUUAUUUGCUGUUCUCCUGGUUCUCCCAAAUUAAUAAUUGAGUAAAGUUGUGUUUUGACAUUCAGAGCUGAUUUGCUUACAUUUUGCUGAACUGCACCUGCUUUGUAAGAGAGUGGGUGUGAGUCGGGAGGCUGGGAGAAGUGGGGGCAGACAACAGAAGCUUUAACAGAGAUGCGUGGAUUGAACAUUUUAUACAUGAAAAUACAAUUCGGCCCUCAAAUUGUGGGUCAUAAACUAUGUGACAAGCCCGGGAGUAGACUCCAGUGGCAGAAUAAAGUCACAGAUGGUACUGGCUUCUCUUAGCAAGUUUGUGUUGGGGACACGAUAGCAAAUACACAAGCACCAGCUGAACAGCAGAGUACGAAGACAGACACGCGUCCCCCUUUCCACUGCACAUACACUCAUGAUCAGAUGCACAUCUGUACAUAUCUGGCCACACACGAAAGACCCAUCCAGGUUUUGAGAUUUGGGCCAUCCAAACCUACAAGUAAAAUCUCCCCACUUUGAAUCUGCAUUUCAUCGUAGCACUGUGGUCUGACAUGGGCUCUGGAGCCAGAGGAUUUGGGUGAGAAUCUGGCUCCUUCCGUACCAGCUGUUGGAAUGUAUACGUGCCACAUAACCUCUCUGUGCUUCAAUGUCCUCAUCUGUAAAAUAGAGAUUAUACUUUGCAGGAUUUCUUAGCGGUUUAAAGACGUUAAAACGGGUGCAUGCUUAGAAUGGUGCAUGACACAUGGGAGUGUUCGAUAGUCGUGGCCAUUACUCCUAAGAUCUCACCGCUCACAGAGGGAGAUGGCAGUCAUUCAGGCCAUAGGGGGAACAGGAGGCUCAUUUGUAGGAUGAGAAAGUAGGACAAUUAAAAGAAUAUGUGCUUGGGUUUAGGAGAGGAGAAGGUCCUGGCAACUGGGUUCUUCCCUUACAGCCACUGAGCCCCGACUCCAUUCCAUUCAUCAAGGAUACAAGAGAAUCUGCCACCCACACAUCAUGUAAGGGUGAUGGGAAAACAGAGAUCCUUGAGGCAUGGAAUCCACAGGGUGCUUCAGGAGGUGAAACAAAUAGAGAAAAACAAAGAGUCUUAGAGCAUGAAAAACACCACCAAAACUUAAGAAGACUCAUGAAGUUGUGGGUAGGAAGGUCAGAAAAGACUUGUGUGUUUUGGAGGAGAAGGUGUUACAGGUGUCAGGAACAGUAUGGAUCAGAGCAGGGAGGCAGGAAAGCUUCGCCUUUAUGUGAGAACAGGGCAGGGUCUAAUUUGGUUGGGGCAAACUAGGAUAAGAAGGGUUGCUUUGGGCUACCAAUGGAGAGAGGAAAUGAAAAACGGAGGUGAGACUUGGCACGUUGUCGACAGGCAACAGAGGGUCACUAAAGGUACCUAAAUGGGGAUAUUGGAGGUCAAAUCUUGUUAUAUUUUAAAGCUAAGAGAAUCUAGUGGGUAAGGAAGACAGAGGAGUCCAAGAUUACAACAUAUUUUUCUACCUGGGUGACUGAGGACAUGGUGAUAUUUGCCAGAAAUAGGCAAGUCAGAAAAAGGGACUGGUUCAGUAACAGAAAUUGCUCUUCCGGGACAGUUUUGGUGGCAAAUGUCAGUGAGUCAUCCCAGUGGCAGUGACCUGCUAGCUGUUGGAAAUGGAGGUGCCAAAGAGAGAGGCUGAGGACAAGGAUAUGGAUUAGGAGCUAGCUCCAAAGACAGUCAUAGAAUGGGAAUGUAUCAUGGCACAGGAAGGGACUGAGGGAGAAGGGAAGAGGGCUAAGGCUAGACCUUGGCAACAGAACACUGAUGGGAAAGAUGGAAGAAGAGGAGCCUGAGGAAGGCUAAAGAGGAAUAAUUACUAAUGAGGAGAAGCAAGGCAGUUCCGUGUCAUGGAAACCAACAAAAAUGGAGACGUCAAGAGGGUAAGACCCAAGAAAAGCCAGUGACCUCGGAGAGGCGUCCGCAUAUGGUUCUGGGAUGAGGCCAUAUCGCCGGGUCCAAAUAAUUUUUGAAUUAUAUGGAAAAAAACCCUCAGACUGUGUGAGGACCACACGUUUAAGAAUAAGGGAAAAUAAGGAGUGAGAGAGUAAGGUAGUGCAAGGAGGAGGUGGCUCAAAGGGUUAUGGGAAACCCGAGGUGCUUUGUAGAAUGAAGGGAAAGACGUGCCGUGAGCUCACUCAGUCCCGCCUACCUUCCUAAUGCAGGAAACUAAGAUCAGAAAAGAGAACAAGAGACGGAGGCUGGAUGGUUUGCCGGAUACCAGAAUAUGAAGAAAUUGAUUCCAAGGAUGCCUUCACCCUGCCUCAUGAGGCAGCUUCUCUUUGGUACCACUCCUCCCUUCAGCCACGAUGUCGGAGUUCCUGAGCCCUGCCUCGAGUGCAUGAGGUCUGACCGGUGGGGAGGCGGGUAGAGUGAACGCUGAACCCCAGGUGUCACGUGGCAUGGCUCGCCGUGCUGCAAGAGUGCGUGGGGGUGGAAAUGCAAUCUCAUUGAAAAAUUAACUGAAACAGCCGCUGGCAAGCUCCGCUACAAAGUAACUUCAUGCAUUUCAGUCUUCAAAAUGACUUUUGGACAAUCUUUUGUUUAUCUCCAGCAUUGCUCUUCUCCAUUAGCAGAAAGAUACACACGCGUUAGCUUGUGUGUAUCUACAGGGACGUCUCCCUCUCUCUCCCCCUACUCUUUCCACCCUCCCCACCCCCAAAAGCUGACGUGUUAAUUAGUGGGGAUAGUGCAUUGUUCAAACUGUCACAAUGUGUGAAGAAGCCAGCCUGAAGAUGAGGUAGGCCAUCAGCAUGAAUUCCGUCCUCCAGGAGAGAUGGGAAAUUCUUGCGUGCCGGAGAGAGUAAUCACUUUAUUUCAGUCUCAGCUGCAUACCGGGUUUCGUCGGCUACUGUAAGGUUGAGUAAUCCCAGAUUGCUAGGGCUGCUCUCCCAUGCAUUAAAUGAGAGAAUAUGCAAAUACUAGGUAACCUGUAAGUCCUGAAUAAAGGUUAUCCUUUUAUCCUA
Molecule: long non-coding RNA, 3052 nt
Organism: Herpailurus yagouaroundi (jaguarundi)
Lineage: Eukaryota; Metazoa; Chordata; Mammalia; Carnivora; Felidae
Exons: 3
Source: RefSeq, a predicted model, not a curated record